UACGUAGGGUGCGAGCGUUGUCCGGAAUUACUGGGCGUAAAGAGCUCGUAGGUGGUUUGUCGCGUCGUCUGUGAAAUUCCGGGGCUUAACUUCGGGCGUGCAGGCGAUACGGGCAAUACUUGAGUGCUGUAGGGGAGACUGGAAUUCCUGGUGUAGCGGUGAAAUGCGCAGAUAUCAGGAGGAACACCAAUGGCGAAGGCAGGUCUCUGGGCAGUUACUGACGCUGAGGAGCGAAAGCAUGGGUAGCGAACAGGAUUAGA
Molecule: ribosomal RNA, 260 nt
Filed under: uncultured prokaryote
Description: partial 16S ribosomal RNA
Rfam family: Bacterial small subunit ribosomal RNA
Source: RNAcentral